Molecule: ribosomal RNA, 254 nt
Filed under: uncultured bacterium
Lineage: Bacteria
Description: partial 16S ribosomal RNA
Rfam family: Bacterial small subunit ribosomal RNA
Source: RNAcentral
UACGUAGGGGGCAAGCGUUGUCCGGAUUUAUUGGGCGUAAAAGGCUUGUAGGUGGCCACGCCAAGUCGGAUGUGAAAUCUCCCGGCUCAACUGGGAGGGGUCACUCGAUACUGGCGGGCUCGAGGCCGGUAGGGGGAAGUGGAAUUCCCGGUGUAGUGGUGGAAUGCGUAGAUAUCGGGAGGAACACCUGCGGCGAAGGCGGGUUGCUGGGCCGACACUGACGCUGAGGCGCGAAAGCUAGGGGAGCGAACGGG